GACGAACGCUGGCGGCGUGCUUAACACAUGCAAGUCGAACGGAAAGGCCCUGCUUUUGUGGGGUGCUCGAGUGGCGAACGGGUGAGUAACACGUGAGUAACCUGCCCUUGACUGUGGGAUAACUUCAGGAAACUGGGGCUAAUACCGGAUAGGAGCUCCUGCUGCAGGGGGGGGGUGGGAAAGUUUCGGCGGUUGGGGAUGGACUCGGGGCUGAUCAGCUUGUGGGUGGGGUAGUGGCUUACCAAGGCUUUGACGGGUAGCCGGCCUGAGAGGGUGACCGGCCACAUUGGGACUGAGAUACGGCCCAGACUCCUACGGGAGGCAGCAGUGGGGAAUAUUGCACAAUGGGCGGAAGCCUGAUGCAGCAACGCCGCGUGCGGGAUGACGGCCUUCGGGUUGUAAACCGCUUUCGCCUGUGACGAAGCGUGAGUGACGGUAAUGGGUAAAGAAGCACCGGCUAACUACGUG
Molecule: ribosomal RNA, 468 nt
Filed under: uncultured bacterium
Lineage: Bacteria
Description: partial 16S ribosomal RNA
Rfam family: Bacterial small subunit ribosomal RNA
Source: RNAcentral